CAGUCGCCGCGGGAAUACGUAGGGUGCAAGCGUUAAUCGGAAUUACUGGGCGUAAAGCGUGCGCAGGCGGUUCGUUAAGACAGAUGUGAAAUCCCCGGGCUUAACCUGGGAACUGCAUUUGUGACUGGCGGGCUAGAGUAUGGCAGAGGGGGGUAGAAUUCCACGUGUAGCAGUGAAAUGCGUAGAGAUGUGGAGGAACACCGAUGGCGAAGGCAGCCCCCUGGGCCAAUACUGACGCUCAUGCACGAAAGCGUGGGGAGCAAACAGGAUUAGAUACCCCCGUAGUCCCUGUCUCUUAUAA
Molecule: ribosomal RNA, 301 nt
Filed under: uncultured bacterium
Lineage: Bacteria
Description: partial 16S ribosomal RNA
Rfam family: Bacterial small subunit ribosomal RNA
Source: RNAcentral